GACGAACGCUGGCGGCGUGCUUAACACAUGCAAGUCGAACGGAAAGGCCCUGCUUUUGUGGGGUGCUCGAGUGGCGAACGGGUGAGUAACACGUGAGUAACCUGCCCUUGCCUUUGGGAUAACUUCAGGAAACUGGGGCUAUUACCGGAUAGGAGCUCCUGCUGCAUGGUGGGGGUUGGAAAGUUUCGGCGGUUGGGGAUGGACUCGCGGCUUAUCAGCUUGUUGGUGGGGUAGUGGCUUACCAAGGCUUUGACGGGUAGCCGGCCUGAGAGGGUGACCGGCCACAUUGGGACUGAGAUACGGCCCAGACUCCUACGGGAGGCAGCAGUGGGGAAUAUUGCACAAUGGGCGGAAGCCUGAUGCAGCAACGCCGCGUGCGGGAUGACGGCCUUCGGGUUGUAAACCGCUUUCGCCUGUGACGAAGCGUGAGUGACGGUAAUGGGUAAAGAAGCACCGGCUAACUACGUG
This 468-nucleotide ribosomal RNA is filed under the name uncultured bacterium. RNAcentral's name for it is "partial 16S ribosomal RNA". It matches the Rfam family "Bacterial small subunit ribosomal RNA", at positions 28 to 507 of the family's 1533-position model. The record is from RNAcentral.